This 497-nucleotide ribosomal RNA is filed under the name uncultured bacterium. RNAcentral's name for it is "partial 16S ribosomal RNA". It matches the Rfam family "Bacterial small subunit ribosomal RNA", at positions 28 to 507 of the family's 1533-position model. The record is from RNAcentral.
GAUGAACGCUGGCGGCGUGCCUAAUACAUGCAAGUCGAGCGAACGGACGAGAAGCUUGCUUCUCUGAUGUUAGCGGCGGACGGGUGAGUAACACGUGGAUAACCUCCCUAUAAUACUGGGAUAACUUCGGGAAACCGGAGCUAAUACCGGAUGAUAUUUUGAACCGCAUGGUUCAAAAGUGAAAGACGGUCUUGCUGUCACUUAUAGAUGGAUCCGCGCUGCAUUAGCUAGUUGGUAAGGUAACGGCUUACCAAGGCAACGAUGCAUAGCCGACCUGAGAGGGUGAUCGGCCACACUGGAACUGAGACACGGUCCAGACUCCUACGGGAGGCAGCAGUAGGGAAUCUUCCGCAAUGGGCGAAAGCCUGACGGAGCAACGCCGCGUGAGUGAUGAAGGUCUUCGGAUCGUAAAACUCUGUUAUUAGGGAAGAACAUAUGUGUAAGUAACUGUGCACAUCUUGACGGUACCUAAUCAGAAAGCCACGGCUAACUACGUG